CUCCUAUCACGAUCAACUUUACUCCGAGCUUCUUCCGGACUUCGUCAAUGUCCGGGCUUCUCCAGUAGCAGGACUUCUAUAGUAACCAAACUCCAUCCAAGUUCCUACAGUGAUCGACCGCCUUCCGAAUUUCAUCCAAGCUUCUGCAGUAAGCGAAUUCCGACCGAACUUCUAUUGCAAGCGGACUUCAUCCAAGCUUCUGCAAUAAGCGGUCUCCACCCAGACUUCUACGGAAACCGAUCUCCAUCCGAGCUUCUACAGUAAGCGGCCUCCUUCCAGACUUCUGUAAGAACCGGACUCCGUCCGAACUUCUACAGCGGAUGGAUUCCAGACGAACUUCUAUAAUGAACGAGCUCUAGUAGCCGGAUUUCUACAAUGACCAACUAUCUUCGGUGUCUUCCGUACCUCUCCAGCCAUCAACCUUCAAUAGCGCCAAUCGGACUUCAACAGUGCCGACCAGACCCCUCCAACAGACAAAUUCCCUUCGAACUCCUCCAGCGGACGAACUUCCACAAUGCCUUCCGAAUUUCACUAUCGAUCGACCUUCUGUCAGAUUUCUCAUGCAACCGGAUCUCUCCAGUGGACAGUCUUCAGACAAGCUUCUACAUCAGACAAAUUUCAGACAGACUUCUCUAGCAAUCGGACUCCAACCGAAUUUCUCCAACAGAAAGUUUCCUUCCAG
RNAcentral lists this long non-coding RNA (682 nucleotides) under Elaeis guineensis (African oil palm). RNAcentral describes it as "long non-coding RNA (EGUI_LNC049645)". Lineage: Eukaryota; Viridiplantae; Streptophyta; Magnoliopsida; Arecales; Arecaceae. The record is from RNAcentral.